RNAcentral lists this transfer RNA (48 nucleotides) under Trachemys stejnegeri stejnegeri. Its description in RNAcentral is "partial tRNA-Leu". Lineage: Eukaryota; Metazoa; Chordata; Testudines; Emydidae. The record is from RNAcentral.
CUUUUAAAGGAUAGAAGUAAUCCAUUGGUUCUAGAAACCAUCCACCCU